UAUACUGUGAAACUGCGAAUGGCUCAUUAAAUCAGUUAUCGUUUAUUUGAUAGUACCUUACUACUUGGAUAACCGUGGUAAUUCUAGAGCUAAUACAUGCUAAAAACCCCGACUUCGGAAGGGGUGUAUUUAUUAGAUAAAAAACCAAUGCCCUUCGGGGCUCCUUGGUGAAUCAUGAUAACUUAACGAAUCGCAUGGCCUUGCGCCGGCGAUGGUUCAUUCAAAUUUCUGCCCUAUCAACUUUCGAUGGUAGGAUAGUGGCCUACCAUGGUAGCAACGGGUAACGGGGAAUUAGGGUUCUAUUCCGGAGAGGGAGCCUGAGAAACGGCUACCACAUCCAAGGAAGGCAGCAGGCGCGCAAAUUACCCAAUCCCGACACGGGGAGGUAGUGACAAUAAAUACUGAUACAGGGCUCUUUCGAGUCUUGUAAUUGGAAUGAGUACAAUUUAAAUACCUUAACGAGGAACAAUUGGAGGGCAAGUCUGGUGCCAGCAGCCGCGGUAAUUCCAGCUCCAAUAGCGUAUAUUAAAGUUGUUGCAGUUAAAAAGCUCGUAGUUGAACCUUGGGCCUGGCUGGCCGGUCCGCCUCACCGCGUGUACUGGUCCGGCCGGGCCUUUCCUUCUGGGGAUCCGCAUGCCCUUCACUGGGUGUGCCGGGGAACCAGGACUUUUACUUUGAAAAAAUUAGAGUGUUCAAAGCAGGCCUUUGCUCGAAUACAUUAGCAUGGAAUAAUAGAAUAGGACGUGCGGUCCUAUUUUGUUGGUUUCUAGGACCGCCGUAAUGAUUAAUAGGGAUAGUCGGGGGCAUCAGUAUUCAAUUGUCAGAGGUGAAAUUCUUGGAUUUAUUGAAGACUAACUACUGCGAAAGCAUUUGCCAAGGAUGUUUUCAUUAAUCAGUGAACGAAAGUUAGGGGAUCGAAGACGAUCAGAUACCGUCGUAGUCUUAACCGUAAACUAUGCCGACUAGGGAUCGGGCGAUGUUAUUAUUUUGACUCGCUCGGCACCUUACGAGAAAUCAAAGUC
This 1022-nucleotide ribosomal RNA is filed under the name Phyllosticta citricarpa. Its description in RNAcentral is "SSU rRNA". It matches the Rfam family "Eukaryotic small subunit ribosomal RNA", at positions 75 to 1105 of the family's 1831-position model. The record is from RNAcentral. Lineage: Eukaryota; Fungi; Ascomycota; Dothideomycetes; Botryosphaeriales; Phyllostictaceae.